ACGUAGGAGGCGAGCGUUAUCCGGAUUUACUGGGCGUAAAGCGCGUGCAGGCGGUAAGGAAAGUUGGAUGUGAAAGCUCCUGGCUUAACUGGGAGAGGUCGUUCAAAACUACCUAACUAGAGUAUGGGAGAGGGAGGCGGAAUUCCGGGUGUAGUGGUGAAAUGCGUAGAUAUCCGGAGGAACACCAGUGGCGAAAGCGGCCUCCUGGCCCAAAACUGACGCUCAGACGCGAAAGCUAGGGUAGCAAACGGGAUUAGAGACCCCGGUAGUCCUAGCUGUAAACGAUGUGAACUUGGCGUCGGCGGGUUUAAAUCCGUCGGUGUCGAAGCAAACGCGAUAAGUUCACCGCCUGGGGACUACGGCCGCAAGGUUA
Molecule: ribosomal RNA, 373 nt
Filed under: uncultured bacterium
Lineage: Bacteria
Description: bacterial SSU rRNA
Rfam family: Bacterial small subunit ribosomal RNA
Source: RNAcentral